CGGCCCUCAGCCUGGCAGCGUCAGUUGAUUUCCAUCCCGAGCUCAUUUCAGCGUUCUCAGAACCGGCCAAGGGGCGCCCUUCCUCAGAGCAUCAUGCUCUGCUGGCCUAGAGGUCUUAGCUCCAGAGGGAGGAGGCUUCCACAAGGAAACACAAUGAUUCCAUUGAACCGGAAGUUAAAACUCUCACUCAGCCACUUUGGGCUCCUCAUGCCUCUGAAUCAACAGGCAAGGAAUGGACUUCCGGUGCUGGCUGGGGCGGUUGAUCCUGACUACCAAGGGGAAAUUGGACUGCUGGUCCACACUGGAGCAUGUGGGAUCUUAGUUCUCCAACCAGGGAUUGAAACUGCGCCCCGUGCAGUGGAAGCAUGGAGUCUUAACCACUGGACCGCCAGGGAAGUCCCUGAUUAAUUUUCAAAUAUUUAACCAGCCUGCAUCUCUGGAAUAAGACUCUCCUUGGUCAUGCGCAGCAUCUGAGAUCUUAGUUCCCCAACCAGGGAUCGAACCUGUGCACCCUGCAGUGGAAGCGUGGAGUCUUAACCACUGGACUGCCAGGGAAGUCCCUGUCCAUUUCCAUUUCUAUUUAAAUUGUCAC
Molecule: long non-coding RNA, 592 nt
Organism: Balaenoptera acutorostrata (minke whale)
Lineage: Eukaryota; Metazoa; Chordata; Mammalia; Artiodactyla; Balaenopteridae
Exons: 4
Source: RefSeq, a predicted model, not a curated record